UAUCUGCAGAGGGAACGGCUUAGCCGUUUAAUUGAGUGGUACCGCGAAAUAGCCCUUCGUCUCA
RNAcentral lists this small RNA (64 nucleotides) under Acididesulfobacillus acetoxydans. RNAcentral's name for it is "T-box". Lineage: Bacteria; Bacillati; Bacillota; Clostridia; Eubacteriales; Peptococcaceae. The record is from RNAcentral.